Molecule: non-coding RNA, 72 nt
Organism: Bos taurus (domestic cattle)
Lineage: Eukaryota; Metazoa; Chordata; Mammalia; Artiodactyla; Bovidae
Source: Rfam
UCCCUGGUGGCUUAGAUGGUAAAGUGUCUGCCUAUAAUGCAGAAGACCCAGGUUCAAUCCCUGGUUUGGGAA